GACCUGGUGGUGAAAUGUAUCAUACCCACUCUGCCUAUGCAAAGCUUGAUGCCUUUGCGGGAGGUCCCCGGUUCGAAUCCGGGCCAGGUCA
Mycena leptocephala is the source of this 91-nucleotide non-coding RNA. The record is from the annotation of a GenBank genome assembly. Lineage: Eukaryota; Fungi; Basidiomycota; Agaricomycetes; Agaricales; Mycenaceae.